GUUUCGGUCCGCCAGAAAUUGGUGGGUACCGUCCUUCCGGCUUCAUAUGUGAUAGUGGCGCACCAUGUGCCCGGAAGGGAUUGUCAUGGUUGAAGUGUGUUCAAAGGCUUUUCGGAGCUGGCGGCCCUUCUUGGGGGAGUUUCUUUACGGGAGCCCUCUCAGUGCUCUAUCUUGUUUACUUUGAAAAAAUUAGAGUGUUUAAAGCAGGCCGUUUCGGCCACUGUAUACAUUAGCAUGGGAUGAUAGAAUAGGACAUGAGUCCAUUUUGUUGGUUUUUAUGGGUCUCGCGUAAUGAUUAACAGGGACAGUUGGGGUGACUUGUAUUUGGGGGCGAGAGGUGAAAUUCUAUGAUCCCCCAAAGACAAACUACUGCGAAAGCAUUUCACAAACAUGUUUUCAUUAAUCAAGAACGAAAGUUAGGGGAUCGAAGACGAUCAGAUACCGUCGUAGUCUUAACCAUAAACGAUGCCGACCAAGGAUGGGGAAACGUUACCAUAUACAUGACUCUCCCUGCACUUUGCGAGAAAUCACAAGUCUUUGGGUUCGGGGGGGAGUACUGUCGCAAGGCUGAAACUUAAAGGAAUUGACGGAAGGGCACCACCAGGAGUGGAGCCUUCGGCUUAAUUUGACACAACACGGGAAAACUUACCAGGUCCAGACAUAGGGAGGAUUGACAGAUUGAGAGCUCUUUCUUGAUUCUAUGAUUGGUGGUGCAUGGCCGUUCUUAGUUCGUGGUGCGAACUGUCUGGUUAAUUCCGUUAACGAACGAGACCUUAACCUACUAAAUAGUGACUUUAAGAUGUUUGCGCUAAGGCUGGCUGCCGACCAUCUUGCGGAAGGAUCCGUUCCCCGUGAGCUGUUUCGUUGGUGUCAGUUGCAGGUCUUGAAGGGUCUACUUCUUAGGGGGACUUUUUGUGUUUAGCAAAAGGAAGUUUGAGGCAAUAACAGGUCUGUGAUGCCCUUCGAUGUUCUGGGCCGCACGCGCGCUACACUGACAAGUACAACGAGUAUAACACCUUGGCUGGGAAGUCUGGGUAAUCUUUUGAACGCUUGUCGUGAUGGGGAUAGAUGAUUGUAAUUAUUCAUCUUCAACGAGGAAUUCCUAGUAAGUGCAAGUCAUCAGCUUGCGCUGAUGUAGUCCCUGCCCUUUGUACACACCGCCCGUCGCUCCUACCGAUUGAAUGGUCCGGUGAAACCAUCGGAUUGAGGGGUCGUUUUUAUUGGUUGGUUUCGGCUGACCGAUAACGCCCGCGAAAAGUUGUUUAAACCUUACCAUUU
This 1278-nucleotide ribosomal RNA is filed under the name metagenome. Its description in RNAcentral is "SSU rRNA". It matches the Rfam family "Eukaryotic small subunit ribosomal RNA", at positions 636 to 1774 of the family's 1831-position model. The record is from RNAcentral.